CUACGGGUGGCAGCAGUCGAGGAAAUUUUACAAUGCUCGCAAGAGUGAUAAAAUAAGCCAGAGUGUUUCUCCUAGAGAAACUUUUAUUUGCUGUAAAAAGGCAGAUGAAUAAGGACUGGGCAAGACCGGUGCCAGCCGCCGCGGUAAUACCGGCGGUCCAAGUCGCAUCCACAUUUAUUGAGUCUAAAACAUUCGUAGCUUGUUUUAUAAGUCUCUUGUGAAAUCCUAUAUCUCAAGUAUAGGGCGUGCAAGAGAUACUAUAUUACUAGAGACUGGAAGACGCAAAGAGUAUGAUUAAGGUAGCGGUAAAAUGUGUUAAUCUUAAUUAGACUAACAAUGGCGAAGGCACUUUGCGAGUACAGAUCUGACAGUGAGGAAUGAAGGCUAGGGGCGCAAAAGGGAUUAGAUACCCCCGUAGUC
This 420-nucleotide ribosomal RNA is filed under the name uncultured archaeon. Its description in RNAcentral is "partial 16S ribosomal RNA". It matches the Rfam family "Archaeal small subunit ribosomal RNA", at positions 323 to 746 of the family's 1478-position model. The record is from RNAcentral.